CACUGCUCUGACGGAUGCUUUUAUUAGACCAAGCCGCUGAGGACUUGGGGGUUCUCCUCUUGUCUGACUCGUGUGAUGGUGACUCUGGAUAACCAAUUCUGACAAGCGCACGUACUUCUCUUCUGAGCGAGACGGCGCUGCCACUUUCGAGUGUCUGCCUUAUCAGCUAUCAACCGUUCGUUAUGCGCGACCGAUGGCUUUGACGGGUAACGGGGAAUCAGGGUUCGAUUCCGGAGAGGCAGCCUGAGAGACGGCUACCACGUCCAAGGACGGCAGCAGGCACGCAAAUUACCCAAUCCCAGCAACUGGGGGAGGUAGUGACGAAAUCUAACGAUGCGGGCGCCCUUUCUGGGGCCCCGCAAUCGGAAUGGGCACUUUCUAAACAACCUGUUGAGAACCUACUGAAGGGCAAGUCUGGUGCCAGCAGGCGCGGUAAUUCCAGCUUCAGCAGCAUCUAUUAAAGUUGCUGCGGUUAAAAGGCUCGCAGUUGAAUGUCUGUAUCGAGCGCAGGUCAGGUGGACGUUGGGGCGUGGAAGUACGGGCAGUUGGAUGUCCGUGGGGCCUUCGUGCUCAACGGCUCCUUCGGCUUUUCCACACACCCCCGUCCGUGACAAGCCUCCUCGCUCGGGUACAUAACGGGAAUCGGUCAAACGGAGUGUGGUUGGAGGUUGGGGUGCGUGGCUUCGGUUGCGUGCUUCUUCUUUCGGCUGCGUUAAGCUCCAUCGGUUUCACGGUCACCUUGAGUAAAUCAGAGUGCUCAAAGCAGUCGUAGGGGCCUUGCGCCCUGUGAACAGUCUUGACGGACUGACUUGGUUUUGCAUGGCAUGUCGGAAGACGACGUCGUGUGCUGGCUCAGAGGAUAAAUCAGUGGUACAAGCCAGCCUCGACGUAAUGAUUAAAAGGGACGGUCGAGGGCAUUGGUAUUGCGAGGCGAGAGGUGAAAUUCUGUGACCCCCGCAAGACCUCCUGAAGCGAAAGCGUCUGCCAAGGACGUUUU
This 997-nucleotide ribosomal RNA is filed under the name Gammarus dacicus. Its description in RNAcentral is "partial 18S ribosomal RNA". It matches the Rfam family "Eukaryotic small subunit ribosomal RNA", at positions 187 to 970 of the family's 1831-position model. The record is from RNAcentral. Lineage: Eukaryota; Metazoa; Arthropoda; Malacostraca; Amphipoda; Gammaridae.